Molecule: long non-coding RNA, 230 nt
Organism: Oncorhynchus gorbuscha (pink salmon)
Lineage: Eukaryota; Metazoa; Chordata; Actinopteri; Salmoniformes; Salmonidae
Exons: 3
Source: RefSeq, a predicted model, not a curated record
UGAUAGACAUGGCCUAAAAGAUUCCAGACAGAGGCUGCCAACCCUCCACCAGAUCACCGUGGAGACACAGUUGACCCUGUCAUAGACGAGGGUCGUCCCAACUUCUCAUUCCUGUUUGAGCCAUAGAAUUGUAUGUGGGGGCAAGGAAAAUUGAGGGAUCGACACAACAAUAUUUAAGAUCUGUUUUCAGUUACAUUUUUUAUUGUCAAAUAAAUCCAUUAUCAAGCAAA